This 1648-nucleotide ribosomal RNA is filed under the name Brachygobius kabiliensis. RNAcentral's name for it is "16S ribosomal RNA". It matches the Rfam family "Bacterial large subunit ribosomal RNA". The record is from RNAcentral. Lineage: Eukaryota; Metazoa; Chordata; Actinopteri; Gobiiformes; Gobiidae.
UACCCAACAGCUAGCCUCCCCCUCCCCUACACACACAUUUUACUAAUUAAUAACACCACAGACACUAACCAAACAAAAACAAACCAUUUUUCCCCCUUAGUAUGGGCGACAGAAAAGGGACACUUGACGCAAUAGAGAAAGUACCGCAAGGGAAAGCUGAAAGAGAAAUGAAACAGCCCAAAAGACAAGAAGCAAAGAUUUCACCUUGUACCUUUUGCAUCAUGAUUUAGCAAGUAAUUUUUAGGCAAAGACCCCUUAAGUCUAAAGCCCCGAAACUAAACGAGCUACUUCAAGACAGCCUAUUAGGGCCAACCCGUCUCUGUGGCAAAAGAGUGGGAAGAUCUUCAAGUAGCGGUGAAAGACCUACCGAGCUUAGUGAUAGCUGGUUGCCUAUAAAAAGAAUAGAAGUUCUGCCUUUGCCUUUCUUUCCUCCACAAAAGUAAACUGCUUGUGACCCAAAGAUAAAAGCAAAGAGUUAGUCAAGGGAGGGACAGCUCCCUUGAAAAAAAUACAAUUAUUUAGAAGGUUAAAGAUUAAAAACAAGUGCUUCAGUGGGCUUAAAAGCAGCCACCUUAAAAAAAAGCGUUAAAGCUUAAAUAAAAUAAAAACUUAAAUAAUAAUAAUAAAGUCUUAAACCACUAAAAAUAAUAGGCCCUUCCAUGCAACCAUGGAAGAGAUAAUGCUAAAAUGAGUAAUAAGAGGGUAAGACCCUCUCCCCCUCCUACGUGUAAAUCAAAAAGCUCUGAUAAUUAACGCCCCCAAAAGAGGGCAAUGAGUAACCCUAGCAAUAAACAAGAAAACCACCCAAUAUUUUAACGUUACCCCAACACAGGAAGGAAAAAGGGAAAGACUAAAAGGAAAAGAAGGAACUCGGCAAACCUAGGCCCCGCCUGUUUACCAAAAACAUCGCCUCUUGACCCCCGCCUAUAAGAGGUCCCGCCUGCCCUGUGACAUUGUUUAACGGCCGCGGUAUUUUGACCGUGCUAAGGUAGCGUAAUCACUUGUCUUUUAAAUGAAGACCUGUAUGAAUGGCAUGACGAGGGCUAAGCUGUCUCCUUUUCCAAGUCAAUGAAAUUGAUCCCCCCGUGCAGAAGCGGGGAUAGGCCCCUAAGACGAGAAGACCCCAUGGAGCUUUAGACCUAUGCCGGCUAUGUUUAACAAAUUAAUUUCCAGGUUAAACCAAAUAUUCCCCUGCAGCAAGUCUUUGGUUGGGGCGACCGUGGAGAAACAAAAACCCCCCAUGUGGAAAAAUAGUUGUACUAUUUUAAAAUAGAGACACCCCUCUAAUUUUCAGAACAUCUGACCAAAAAGAUCCGGCAAAGCCGACCAACGGACAAAGUUACCCUGGGGAUAACAGCGCAAUCCUCUUCUAGAGCCCCUAUCGACAAGAGGGUUUACGACCUCGAUGUUGGAUCAGGACAUCCUAAUGGUGCAGCCGCUAUUAAGGGUUUGUUUGUUCAACAAUUAAAGUCCUACGUGAUCUGAGUUCAGACCGGAGAAUCCAGGUCAGUUUCUAUCUAUGAAUGUUUUUUUCUAGUACGAAAGGACCGAAAAAAAGAGGCCAAUGAUUAAAGUAAGCCUCCCCCUUAACUGUUGAAUACAACUAAACAGGCAAGAGGACUUAAAAUUUAAGCUGAGAACAAGACAA